GUAGCUCAAUGGUUAGAGCAUUGGACUGUGGCUCCAAGGGCUGGGGGUUCAAGUCCCC
Molecule: transfer RNA, 58 nt
Filed under: Nitrospirae bacterium RBG_16_43_8
Lineage: Bacteria; Pseudomonadati; Nitrospirota
Description: tRNA-His
Rfam family: tRNA
About the family: Transfer RNA (tRNA) molecules are approximately 80 nucleotides in length. Their secondary structure includes four short double-helical elements and three loops (D, anti-codon, and T loops).
Source: RNAcentral